This 307-nucleotide ribosomal RNA is filed under the name uncultured bacterium. RNAcentral describes it as "partial 16S ribosomal RNA". It matches the Rfam family "Bacterial small subunit ribosomal RNA", at positions 506 to 807 of the family's 1533-position model. The record is from RNAcentral.
AGACAGCAGCAGCCACGGGAAUACGUAGGGUGCGAGCGUUAAUCGGAAUUACUGGGCGUAAAGCGUGCGCAGGCGGUCCUAUAAGACAGAUGUGAAAUCCCCGGGCUCAACCUGGGAACUGCAUUUGUGACUGUAGAGCUGGAGUGCGGCAGAGGGGGGUGGAAUUCCGCGUGUAGCAGUGAAAUGCGUAGAUAUGCGGAGGAACACCGAUGGCGAAGGCAAUCCCCUGGGCCUGCACUGACGCUCAUGCACGAAAGCGUGGGGAGCAAACAGGAUUAGAUACCCCAGUAGUCCCUGUCUCUUAUAC